This is a long non-coding RNA of Gossypium raimondii (Peruvian cotton), 568 nucleotides long. RefSeq lists it as uncharacterized. The transcript has 4 exons. The record is from RefSeq and is a predicted model, not a curated record. Lineage: Eukaryota; Viridiplantae; Streptophyta; Magnoliopsida; Malvales; Malvaceae.
UAAAAUAUGAUAAGUGGUUAGUAGUGGGAUUAUGUGGAUAUUGUUUUUAAAUUAUUUCCAAGAAAAUCCCAAAAAAAUCUCUCCCACUUUUCCCACUCCCUUUGUCUCUUUUCCUUUUUGCUGUCUAUACUGUUACUUUCCCCACAAUUUUCCUUUUCAAUUUUUGUUCCUUCUCAUUCUACUCACCGAAACUGUUCUUUGCUCAUAACUUUUUUUUUCAAUUCUUUCUCUAUUGUUCCAAACUCUGUGCUAGUUGGCAUGAGUUCCUUUGUUUGAAUCCUUUUCAGUUGUUCCAAUUUUUGGGUUUUGGCUGUACGCAUUUGUGGAGAAGAUCGUGAGACGGUUGAUCCUCCGGCGAACUAAGUUUUUAUUUACGUUGUGGUUUCAUUCAAGGUUGGUAAAAAGCAUGCUAAUUAGUGUGAAUUGUACUCGUUCUUGAAUCUACAUCGGAAACUAACUAGGUAACCAACAACCUUAGGGCAUAUCGGCGUAGCAGGAGCUCGGUUUAAAUUAUUGUUUUUAAAUUCUAUUGAGUUUAAGUACCAUUUUAAAUUGGAAUGUUUUUGGA